This 943-nucleotide ribosomal RNA is filed under the name uncultured organism. RNAcentral's name for it is "bacterial SSU rRNA". It matches the Rfam family "Bacterial small subunit ribosomal RNA", at positions 530 to 1486 of the family's 1533-position model. The record is from RNAcentral.
GGGUCCGAGCGUUAUCCGGAAUCAUCGGGUUUAAAAGGGUCCGUAAGUUGGGUUCUAAGUCAGAGGUGCAAGGUUGCAGCUCAACUGUAGAAUUGGCCUUUGAUACUGGAGCUCUUGAGUUAUGUUGCUGUGGCCGGAACAUGUGGUGUACCGGUGAAAUGCAUAGAUAUCACAUAGAACACCGAUUGCGAAGGCAGGUCACAAAGCAUAUACUGACACUGAGGGACGAAAGCGUGGGGAGCGAACGGGAUUAGAUACCCCGGUAGUCCACGCCGUAGACGAUGGAUACUAGCUGUUGGGUUUUCGGACUCGGCGGCCAAGCGAAAGUGAUAAGUAUCCCACCUGGGGAGUACGUUCGCAAGAAUGAAACUCAAAGGAAUUGACGGGGGCCCGCACAAGCGGUGGAGCAUGUGGUUUAAUUCGAUGAUACGCGAGGAACCUUACCAGGGCUUAAAUGGGAGAUGACCGGGUCAGAGACGACCCUUUCUUCGGACAUCUUUCAAGGUGCUGCAUGGUUGUCGUCAGCUCGUGCCGUGAGGUGUCAGGUUAAGUCCUAUAACGAGCGCAACCCCUGCCGUUAGUUGCCAGCGAGUCAAGUCGGGGACUCUAACGGGACUGCCGGUGCAAACCGUGAGGAAGGUGGGGACGACGUCAAAUCAUCACGGCCCUUACGUCCUGGGCUACACACGUGCUACAAUGGUCGGUACAAUGGGAAGCCACCCCGUGAGGGGGCGCGGAUCUUAAAAGCCGAUCACAGUUCGGAUCGGGGUCUGCAACUCGACCCCGUGAAGCUGGAAUCGCUAGUAAUCGGAUAUCAGCCAUGAUCCGGUGAUACGUUCCCGGGCCUUGUACACACCGCCCGUCAAGCCAUGGAAGCCGGGGGUGCCUGAAGUCCGUCACCGCAAGGAGCGGCCUAGGGCAAGACUGCUAACUAGGGCUAAGU